RNAcentral lists this ribosomal RNA (352 nucleotides) under uncultured bacterium. RNAcentral describes it as "bacterial SSU rRNA". It matches the Rfam family "Bacterial small subunit ribosomal RNA", at positions 1 to 334 of the family's 1533-position model. The record is from RNAcentral.
ACAGAUCGUUCAGAGUUUGAUCCUGGCUCAGGACGAACGCUGGCGGCGUGCCUAAUACAUGCAAGUCGAGCGAACAGAUGAGGAGCUUGCUCCUCUGACGUUAGCGGCGGACGGGUGAGUAACACGUGGGGCAACCUGCCCUAUAGUUUGGGGAUAACUCGCGGAAACGUGAGCUAAUACCGAAUAAUACAUUUCAUCUCCUGGUGGAAUGUUGAAAGAUGGUUUUUCGCUAUCGCUAUAGGAUGGGCCCGCGGCGCAUUAGCUAGUAGGUGGGGUAACGGCUCACCUAGGCAACGAUGCGUAGCCGACCUGAGAGGGUGAUCGGCCACACUGGGACUGAGACACGGCCCAG